Molecule: long non-coding RNA, 518 nt
Filed under: Gossypium raimondii (Peruvian cotton)
Lineage: Eukaryota; Viridiplantae; Streptophyta; Magnoliopsida; Malvales; Malvaceae
Description: long non-coding RNA (GRAI_LNC006111)
Source: RNAcentral
GUUUUCUUAAACAUAUUUCUUUGUCAUUUUACUUUCAAUGCUAUUUUCCUAAAAUUUAAAUUUCAAAUUCCUAAGUAAAUUUCAUAAAAAAAUCCCUAUUCAACAUAUAAUGUACAUACCAUUAUUUUUUCAUUCUAAAUAUAUUUCAUAAAAUAUAUAUGCUAAACAAAAUAAUAAAAUAACUAUAAUGUACAUAACAUAAAUUUUAAACACACAAAUAUUAGAAAAAAAUUUAAAUUUAUAAAAAAAAUACCUUUUCUUUUCUUUUUUUCUCCUUCCUUCCCUCUUCUUCUUUUUUUUUUUUCUCUUCUCCUUUCCUUUCCUUUUCUUUCCUUCUUUCUUUCUUUUUUCUUCUUCUUUCUUUCUUUUUUUCUCUUCUCCUUUCCUUUUCUUUCCUUCUUUUUCUUUCUUUCUUUCUUUCUUUCCCUCUCCUUUUGGUCCCCCCACCACCGACCCCCCCUAAUAUACAUUGGUGCCGCCAAUCUCAUUGGUGUGACCAGUUAAAUGUCACAUCAAUC